GACGAACGCUGGCGGCGUGCUUAACACAUGCAAGUCGAACGGAAAGGCCCUGCUUUUGUGGGGUGCUCGAGUGGCGAACGGGUGAGUAACACGUGAGUAACCUGCCCUUGACUUUGGGAUAACUUCAGGAAACUGGGGCUAAUACCGGAUAGGAGCUCCUGCUGCAUGGUGGGGGUUGGAAAGUUUCGGCGGUUGGGGAUGGACUCGCGGCAUAUCAGCUUGUUGGUGGGGUAGUGGCUUACCAAGGCUUUGACGGGUAGCCGGCCUGAGAGGGUGACCGGCGACAUUGCGACUGAGAUACGGCCCAGACUCCUACGGGAGGCAGUAGUGGGGAGUCUUGCACAAUGGGCGGAAGCCUGAUGUAGCGACGCUGCGUGCGUGAUGCCGGCCUUCGAGUGGUAAACCGCUUUCGCCUGUGACGAAGCGUGAGUGACGGUAAUGGGUAAAGAAGCACCGGCUAACUACGUG
Molecule: ribosomal RNA, 468 nt
Filed under: uncultured bacterium
Lineage: Bacteria
Description: partial 16S ribosomal RNA
Rfam family: Bacterial small subunit ribosomal RNA
Source: RNAcentral